UGGGGAAUUUUGGACAAUGGACGCAAGUCUGAUCCAGCCAUGCCGCGUGCGGGAAGAAGGCCUUCGGGUUGUAAACCGCUUUUGUCAGGGAAGAAACGAGUUUCUCUAAUACAGAGACUUAAUGACGGUACCUGAAGAAUAGGCACCGGCUAACUACGUGCCAGCAGCCGCGGUAAUACGUAGGGUGCAAGCGUUAAUCGGAAUUACUGGGCGUAAAGCGUGCGCAGGCGGUUAUAUAAGACAGAUGUGAAAUCCCCGGGCUCAACCUGGGACCUGCAUUUGUGACUGUAUAGCUAGAGUACGGUAGAGGGGGAUGGAAUUCCGCGUGUAGCAGUGAAAUGCGUAGAUAUGCGGAGGAACACCGAUGGCGAAGGCAAUCCCCUGGGCCUGUACUGACGCUCAUGCACGAAAGCGUGGGGAGCAAACA
This 427-nucleotide ribosomal RNA is filed under the name uncultured bacterium. RNAcentral describes it as "bacterial SSU rRNA". It matches the Rfam family "Bacterial small subunit ribosomal RNA", at positions 355 to 774 of the family's 1533-position model. The record is from RNAcentral.